UUAUGUGUGUGUUUCAAGAAUGAGGGCCCCAUGUCUAUAUUUUGCCUAGGGCCCCAAAAUGGCUAGAUCCGCCCCUGAUUACAGAGACCUUAAUAU
Thalassophryne amazonica is the source of this 96-nucleotide long non-coding RNA. RefSeq lists it as uncharacterized. The transcript is spliced from 3 exons. The record is from RefSeq and is a predicted model, not a curated record. Lineage: Eukaryota; Metazoa; Chordata; Actinopteri; Batrachoidiformes; Batrachoididae.